UCUCAGUACCCGCAGGAAGAGAAAACAAUAGUGAUUCCGUGAGUAGUGGUGAGCGAAAGCGGAUUAGCCUAAACCGUGCGCGUGUGAUAGCCGGCAGGCGUUGCGUGUGCGGGGUUGUGGGACCAUCCGGUCGUCUCUGCCGGGACGGCGAGGAGUUACAAACUGCUCGGGUAGUCGAAUGGCAUGGGAAGGCCGACCGUAGACGGUGAGAGUCCGGUAGACGAAAUCCGAGUGGCUUCUGGGUGUGUUCCCGAGUAGCACGGG
Molecule: ribosomal RNA, 264 nt
Filed under: Micromonospora aurantiaca (nom. illeg.)
Lineage: Bacteria; Bacillati; Actinomycetota; Actinomycetes; Micromonosporales; Micromonosporaceae
Description: partial 23S ribosomal RNA
Rfam family: Bacterial large subunit ribosomal RNA
Source: RNAcentral